GCUGGGUGCAGUGGUGGACACCUGUAAUCCUAGUAACACAGGAAGCUGAUGCAGGAGAAUCACCAGUUCAAGGCCAGCCUCAGCAAUUUAGUGAAACCCUGUCUCAA
This 107-nucleotide small RNA is filed under the name Marmota monax (woodchuck). The record is from RNAcentral. Lineage: Eukaryota; Metazoa; Chordata; Mammalia; Rodentia; Sciuridae.